Molecule: ribosomal RNA, 467 nt
Filed under: Bacillus cereus
Lineage: Bacteria; Bacillati; Bacillota; Bacilli; Caryophanales; Bacillaceae
Description: bacterial SSU rRNA
Rfam family: Bacterial small subunit ribosomal RNA
Source: RNAcentral
UUUAUUGGAGAGUUUGAUCCUGGCUCAGGAUGAACGCUGGCGGCGUGCCUAAUACAUGCAAGUCGAGCGAAUGGAUUAAGAGCUUGCUCUUAUGAAGUUAGCGGCGGACGGGUGAGUAACACGUGGGUAACCUGCCCAUAAGACUGGGAUAACUCCGGGAAACCGGGGCUAAUACCGGAUAACAUUUUGAAUCGCAUGGUUCGAAAUUGAAAGGUGGCUUCGGCUGUCACUUAUGGAUGGACCCGCGUCGCAUUAGCUAGUUGGUGAGGUAACGGCUCACCAAGGCAACGAUGCGUAGCCGACCUGAGAGGGUGAUCGGCCACACUGGGACUGAGACACGGCCCAGACUCCUACGGGAGGCAGCAGUAGGGAAUCUUCCGCAAUGGACGAAAGUCUGACGGAGCAACGCCGCGUGAGUGAUGAAGGCUUUCGGGUCGUAAAACUCUGUUGUUAGGGAAGAACAAGUG